Molecule: ribosomal RNA, 124 nt
Filed under: uncultured bacterium
Lineage: Bacteria
Description: partial 16S ribosomal RNA
Source: RNAcentral
GCCGGGGCUUCUUCUGCGGUUACCGUCAUCAUCUUCACCGCUGAAAGCGUUUUACAACCCUAAGGCCUUCUUCACGCACGCGGCAUGGCUGGAUCAGGGUUUCCCCCAUUGUCCAAUAUUCCCC